AAUUAAGCAUAUACAGUUCUACAAUAUACUACUCUAAAGAGCGUUAACCAUAAGAAACAAACAUGAAUCAGCAAAUGAAGCAAAAUGCAAAAUGAGACUUUUUCGUCUCUUUACUCUAAUAUUAAUAUUAAUGAACCAGUAGGCACAAUCAACAAGAGAAAGCGCCAAUUUCAACCAACCAGCAAAAGCUACUUUUAAAGUAUUGUAUGGGGUAAAAUCCGGCUCGCCCCACUUCCGUCUAAGCAGACACGCCCCUCACGACAAAGCCGUCCUCAGAUCGUGUCGCCUCAGGCAAGGACGGCCCGAGCAAGGACGUCUCAGUCA
This 324-nucleotide long non-coding RNA is filed under the name Nicotiana benthamiana. RNAcentral describes it as "long non-coding RNA (NBEN_LNC001891)". The record is from RNAcentral. Lineage: Eukaryota; Viridiplantae; Streptophyta; Magnoliopsida; Solanales; Solanaceae.